This is an RNA transcript of Neofelis nebulosa (Clouded leopard), 2851 nucleotides long. It is a transcript of the gene named single stranded DNA binding protein 1, with no coding region annotated. The transcript has 9 exons. The record is from RefSeq and is a predicted model, not a curated record. NCBI's taxonomy places the organism in Eukaryota, Metazoa, Chordata, Mammalia, Carnivora, Felidae.
AGCUCCAGGUUAGUUCGGGCUAGAGCGUCCGGUGAGGGUGGAGGGAGCCACGAGUUCUUUGCUAGAGGAAGACCAAAGACUAGGUUGUAGGAAAAGCAAAUAGAAGCCAUGUUUCGGAGACCUGUAUUACAGGUGUUUCAUCAGUUCGUGAGACAUGAGUCUGAAAUAGCCAGCAGCUUGGUUCUUGAAAGAUCUCUGAACCGUGUGCAGCUCCUUGGGCGAGUGGGUCAGGACCCCGUCAUGAGACAGGUGGAAGGGAAGAACCCGGUCACAAUAUUUUCUCUAGCAACGAAUGAGAUGUGGCGGUCAGGGGAGAGUGAAGUAUACCAAAUGGAUUUAGGUGAUGUCAGUCAAAAGACGACAUGGCACAGAAUAUCAGUAUUCCGACCAGGCCUCAGAGAUGUGGCAUAUCAGUAUGUGAAAAAGGGGUCCCGUAUCUAUGUGGAAGGGAAAGUCGACUAUGGUGAAUACACAGAUAAAAACAAUGUGAGGCGACAGGCAACAACAAUCAUAGCUGAUAAUAUUAUAUUUCUGAGUGACCAGACCAAAGAAAAGGCAUAGAGUGGACGAUUCUUCUUUGGCCAUUGUUUGGAACAGUAGAAAAGGAAUUGCCGUUUCCUCAUAUCAGCCGUCUUUUUUCCUGCAGCUGGGACCAUUAAUCAGUACAUGAACUCUGCUUUGUGAGUUUAUACGUUAAAACUGUCUGGUGAUGUAGCCCUCACUUCUUUAUGCCACAUUCCUUAAGGAAAAUGUAGAUAAAAUUGAUCUUUGGGCAACUCUUCGUUAGCAAAAGCUGCUUUUAUACUCCUUAAAAGUUGUGAGAAGUUCUGCAGAUUAGUAUACCUGUUUAAAUAGUGUGAUGAAUCUGUGCUUUGGGAAGGUAAUAGGUGAACAGAUCAAUUCAGUGACCAGCCCAGAGCAGCUCUGAGUCCAGGGCGCAGGGGCAGAAAGGUGCACCCCGCCGGAUCCCUGUGAGCCGAAGGCGUCGCCGCCCUCCCGCUGCAGGUUGCCUGGAAGGCUCUGAGGUUGGGCAGCAGGGCCUUCAGAGGCGGGCGUUCGGUGCAGAGGCCUCGGCACGAGGCUGAUGGUGUGGAUGUGAGGUCCGCAACUGGGCAGCUCCCAGAGCAUGGACUCUGCCCUUCCCUUCCUCGGGCAGCCCUGGGUGCUGAGAACUCUGUACCUCUCCCAAGCUGCUCUCGGAGUAGAUGUGUGGAACCUGGUAGCUUUAACAGUCGGUAGGGGUCUUGUAGCCCCACGUUUUGUGUCUUGCAUUCCCUUUGUCAUCUUUUCACGGUGUCAGGGAAUAUUCCUGUGGAAAACUGCCAUGUGACUUUGAUUUUGGGAUUCCACGUUGGGUGGGAAGAUGAGUAGGAUACACGGAGGUGUGGGAGAGAAGGUAGCAGCACGUGUGGUACUCUCCCAUUUUUGAAAAAGAAGUAAUAGAUAUGAAUAUAUGUUUAGUAAAAGUCUGGGAGGAGAAACAUCAAAAGGUUGUGAUGAUCUCUGGAUGGGGGGAUUAUGUGUGAGUUUCCUUAUUAUUCUUACGGUUUUUUAGCCUUGAGCUUAUAUUACUUUUGACAAUAAAAACCAAAUAAACUGUUUUCACUUUUGGAAAACAAAAAUCUUUCUGUUAUUUCCAAGCCAGGCUGGCACUGCUGAUUGACCUUCAUUUAGUACUUACUGCUUGCUGUCCUAGAGGCGAACAAGAUAUCUUUCAUGUAUUUCCCUCCAUUGUCUGCAUCUUUGUAGUGCAUGCUCAGAUACUUCACUUACCUUUUUUUCCCUUCUUUUUCUUUUCUUUUCCUCUUAAUACGUGUAUAUAACCUACAACAAUUGACUUUAAAGACCAACCCGUAUGAGAUCCACUGUUUGCUGUCAGUAGUUUUCAAAGAGUCAUUCAUUUCUUAAAAACGACUGGGCAGUUGACCCAGAGACAUCCAAAAAUACCAAAGACAUGUUUUUGUGGCUGUUUUGGGGAUUUCUUGUCAUUGCCAACUGGGUUGCAGCCUAACCUUUGCAGCUCAGGAGGAAUUAUUGGUGGUUUCCCUUUGUUCCCCAAAGAGAUUGUGCAGUUCUUGAAGGUGGGCUUAUCUUUUACUCAGACUACCCGUUUGUCCCUGUCCAGCUUAGCCUAGCAAAGUGACAUUAUAGGGCUUUCAAAAUGUUUGGUUGGAUUGCACUGAAACAUUGACAUGAAAAUGAAGGCAGGCUCACUUUACUUAUUUUUCUGUCAGGGUUUGCAUUAAGUGCUGUGAAGCUUGGUGGGAGUAACAGCAAGCAAAUCGUUGUAGAAAACUUCGUGAGUUACAGAGAAAUCUCUUAGGGAAAACAAUGACCAUAUUGAAGGCUGACCUUUUUGUGUAUGUACUAGGUGCCAGGCCCUGAGCUCAGUGCUUUUUAUCAUUGUCUCAUUUCACUAUUACCCUAAGAGGUGGUAUUAUCCUGAUUUUGCAGGUGAGGAAACCUGAAACUGCGUGGUUAAGUAACAUGUCAAAGUCAUGCAGCUUAUAAGAGGCACAGCUGGAGUUUGAGUGUAGUUAACUGUUGCUAAGGGGGUAGAAGCAGACGCCAUUUGGUGGUGCUUCCAGGAAAGCUCCUUAAAUGGUUAGCUCUGUUGGGAGGCUCAUCCUUUGUGCUUCUCCAGACCCUCACCUGGCUUUUUCUGGUCUGAAAUGUGGACAUGAUGGCUGAGAAUCUCCAGUAGCCAUUUUAGACCACAAGACUAUCUGCAGGAUGGAAGAUGGAAGAGGCUGGAGUCCGUGAUGACCAUGGAGCCACCAUCGCGAUCCUGGACAGUCUACCUCUGGACUUCUUUGGGAGACACAAAUAAAUCUCUACCUUGUUUAAGCCA